GAGUCUACCCCUCCAAGUACGAGUCCAAGUCCGCCCACUACUGACCUAUCCAAGAAAGAUUGGGAGGUUCUAACCGAAAUGAAUAAUUCAGUCUAUGGAAACCCUAGCUCUCUGACAAUUCAGAACGACAAAAAGAAGGGGUCAAAAUCGCAGUCGAAUUUGAAUGAAAUCGGGAAAUCGGAACAGAAAUCUAAUGAUUUGGAAAGGAAAAGAAAAAACUGGCAUCCCGAAAAUGG
Molecule: long non-coding RNA, 236 nt
Organism: Belonocnema kinseyi
Lineage: Eukaryota; Metazoa; Arthropoda; Insecta; Hymenoptera; Cynipidae
Exons: 3
Source: RefSeq, a predicted model, not a curated record